AGAACAACUUGUCAGGUGGUGCAUUGGAGACUGAUGUGUUCCUGUCCUGUCUUUUCAUAAUACUAUUGCAGAUCAACAUAAAAGCCUAAAAGACAGCCGUGGUGUCGCUCUUCAUUUCUUGGUUCUCCUGUGGUGCAUAAGAGACCCGCUACAUACAUGUAGUUAUUACCAUGCAUGAGAUGCCCACAUUGUAGCCUGUACUUUUAAUAUAUUCACUGAUCAUGUACUUUACCUCGGCAAAUAAAGGUGCAGUUCAGGUAUGAAUGUUUUUGAGAUAAUUUUUCAGUCAUAUCCAAUACCAGGAGGAUCAAAUUCCAGUCUUUGAUGCUGUGUCUGCAUGGAUGUAUUACAUUUAUCCACUUCAACAGUGUUUACAAUCUUUGUCCUGGGACAUCAAUGGUUACAUAUUGUAACUAUGCAAUAGUUUAACUAGUUAAAGGAUGAUUUGUUAUUCAUAUAUACAGAAAUAGAAUUUAAAAAAACUUCUCUCUCUCCCUUCUCUCACCCCCUUCCCUCUCCUCCUCUCCCCCUCACUCCCUUCUCUCUCUCACUUCUCUCUCCCCCCUCCCUCCCUCCCCCUUCUCUCCGUUCUUUCUUCCCCUCUCCCCUUCUCUCUCCGCCUCUCCCCAUUCUCUACCAUCUCACUCUCUCCCCCUUCUCUCUCCUCCUCACUCCCUUCUCUCUCCCCUCACUCCCCAUUUCCCCCUUCUCUGUCCCCCUCUCCCCUUCUCUCUCCCCCUCCUCUCUCCCCCUCUUCCCCUCUCUCACUUUUCUCUCUCCUAUCCCCUCCCUCCAUCCCCCCUACUCUCUCCACCUCUCUCCGUUCUUCUCCCUUCUUUCUCCCCCUCUCCCCCUUCUCUCUCCCCAUUCCCUCCCAUCUCCCUCUCUUCCCCUCUCUCCCUAUCUCCCUCUUCCCCUCUCUCCCUUCUCUCUCCCCAUCUCUUCCCCUCUCUCCCUUCUCCCCAUCUGCCUCUCUUCCCCUCUCUCACUUCUCUCUCCCCUCUCUCCCUUCUUUCUCCCCCUCUCCGCCUCUCCUCCCUCUCUCUGCCCCUCUCCCCCUUCUCUCUCCCCGUUCUCCCUCUCUUCCCCUCUCUCCCUUCUCUCCCUCUCUUCCCCUCUCUCCCUUCUCUCUCCCCAUCUCUUCCCCUCUCCCACUUCUCUCUCCCCCUCUUCCCCUCUCUCACUUCUCUCUCCCCCUCUCUCCCUUCUCUCUCCCCCCUCUAGCUGUUCUCUCCCUUCUUUCUCCCCCUCCUCUCUCCCCCUCUCCCCCUUCUCCCCAUUCUCUCUCUCCCUUCUCUCUCCCCCUCCCUUCCCCUUCUCUUUCCCCCCUCACCCCUCUCUCCCUUCUCUCUCCCCAUCUCUUCCCCUCUCCCCCUACUCUCUCCCCCUCUUCCCCUCUCUCCCUUCUCUCUCCCCCCUCUAGCUGUUCUCCCCCUUCUCUCUCCCCCUCCCUCCCCCUUCUCUCUCCCCCUCUCUCCCUUCUCUCUCCCCAACUCUCCCUCCUCUCUCCACCUCUCCCCUUCUCUCUCCGUCUCUUGCUCCAUCACUUCUACAACCGGUACUUCCAGUAGUGCCGCAUUGAGCUUCAAUGAACAUUUCCAGCUAUCAAAACCACCACCACUACCCCCUGGACCAGCCACGGACUACCCAGGUUUGAUGCCCCAAAGUCCGCCUCCACCUCAUCCACCACCCAUUGAGCCAGUGGAAGCAGUGGAGAGACACCAGUGCUCAACACCCUCUCCCCAGGUUUAGGUGACCCUAGCCAUGCUAGUGAUGGGAAUGGAGGGGCAUCUAUGAUGGAUGCCAGCAUCAUGACUUCCACAAGCUGUCUGUUCAAGCCAAGCCUACCACCACCACCACUUCCACCAAGGGGGGCCCUGUCGUCCGGCCUCUGCCCAUGCUCGGUGAGGGUUCCCAGGCACAGCUCCGGCCACCGAUGGCCUCCCCUUGAUGUCUCUCUCCAACCCCCUCUACAGAGAGUCUAUGAUGACUUCUCACAACUGUGCCAACACAGCCUCCUCCUCUUCCUCCUCUUCCUCCUCUUCCUCCUCCUUCGCUCCAGUCUUCCCUCCAUCCCUGCCCUGCGCUAACUGUGGCUACAUCCAGGGCUCUACAGCCCCCACUACCUCACGGCUGCCCCAAAGAGGACAGGCUAGUCCGGAGAGACUCUACUACCUCCAUCCCCUCUAUAUAUCCACAAAGAGAGAUCUAAAUUGACAAAUAAAGGUGGCCAACAGGGGGCAGCAGAGGCACACCAUUCCAUAACAACAGCUAUACUUGUAGGAGUGUUUACAUUUUGUGAUGUAACCCCAUAAUUAGGUUGGGGGUUUUUUCCCAAAUGGCACCCUACUCCCUAUAUAGUGCACUACUUCUAACCAGGAACCAUGGGGCUCUUGUCAAAGAUAGUACACUAUAUAGGGAAGGUUCUGACAUAUGUAAUAUUACUGCUACAGUAUAUUGGUGGGGCUUACUAUGUGGUUAUCUGGAUCUGUAGCCAGUGGGUGGGGUUUACUAUGUGGUUAUCUGGAUCUGUAGCCAGUGGGUGGGGCUUACUAUGUGGUUGUCUGGAUCUGUAGGCAGUGGGUGGGGCUUACUAUGUGGUUGUCUGGAUCUGUAGCCAGUGGGUGGGGCUUACUAUGUGGUUGUCUGGAUCUGUAGCCAGUGGGUGGGGCUUACUAUGUGGUUGUCUGGAUCUGUAGCCAGUGGGUGGGGCUUACUAUGUGGUUGUCUGUAUCUGUAGCCAGUGGGUGGGGCUUACUAUGUGGUUGUCUGGAUCUGUAGCCAGUGGGUGGGGCUUACUAUGUGGUUGUCUGGAUCUGUAGCCAGUGGGUGGGGCUUACUAUGUGGUUGUCUGGAUCUUGCAGGCAGUGGGUGGGGCUUACUAUGUGGUUGUCUGGAUUUGUAGCUAGUGGGUGGGGCUUACUAUGUGGUUGUCUGGAUCUGUAGCCAAUGGCUUGUUAUUGGCUACCCAUAUAUUAACAUCUCAUACAGUAAGGCAUAGCAAUAGUAGCAUAGGAAUCCUGUAUAUAUGAUGUAAUAACCUAAUAAUGAAUAUUAUAUUGUCCUGACUGUCCUGAUCAGGUCAGGUUACAGGAGACCACAACACUACAGAUUAUCUCUCAACCCCCAACAGAGGAGGAGAGAUCUAGGGGUCUGAAGAUGUGGGGGUUUUAUGACCCCUCACGCCCAUGAUAGUCUUAGGCCACAGAGAAAUUCCUUUGUCCUCUCACUGUGGAGAACCUGCCUCAGAACAUUAAACAUGCAAUAAAGGGACUUUGGAACAAUGGUUUCCGUCAGCCACAAGGGUGGUUAUGACGAUAGAUGGGAUAUGAAAAUGUGUGUAAUUUUUGUUUUGUUAUUAAAGGUUAAUAGAUGACGUUAUUACGAAAACAUUGUACCUUUAAGAGUUUUCACAGUAUAUGCCUGAUGUUUAUACAUUGUACGUUGUGUGGAAAAUGUCCAAAUCAAAGAGAAUGUUUUGGUAAAGAUGAAAUGUGAAGUUAGUUGUCUAAAAUUGGAUUUGGGUAAAAUCUAGACCUCCAGCCUCUUAACUUGGUCCGCCCAGAGAAUUGCCCUAAAGGCGGUUACGCCCACUUCUGACCCGAGGGUAUUAGACAUGGGAGUUAAGAAUUAACAUACAGACUAAGUGACCCAAGCUGCAGCAGAGGUCUAAAAAGUCAACGAACCCCAAAACGCAACACAAGGAAGAAGACAAAUAAAUAUUCUUCUACCCAUGCUAUGGAUGAGUAGCUGUGUCUAAGCGGGUGAACUCAAGCCGGAACACCUGGCCUACACACCUGGCCUACUGGUAUCUACGCUGUUUCAUUCCUACGUUGUGAGCUCUGAGCUACAGACCUGGCUGUCCUCAGACGACCCCUUUCAGAGCCAGGGCGAGGAAUCAGACCACUAAGCCAAAAGGACACUGACAUCGUGAGGACAACCAGAGAGUUGCGCCGGAGAAGUGCGUCAUUGAGAAGCCUAAACGACCCACGCGGAGCUUCCCAUCUGAGACCUCCAACACGUAAUUACAUCAUUAUAUUCUGACCCAUAAGAGCGGCAGUUCGGGGCAAGGCUAGGGUUAAAAUAAGCAUAGCUGACAAAUGCACCCAAAUGUAUAUUUCUCUUGUGUACUUUCUCUUGUUCUCUCUCUUUUAAAUCCCGUUUUGGGUAACACGCGCCAUAGUGUGUUGGCCCGUUAUACUAAGUCCUAAUCAAUAGCCUAGACUGUGUUUUGUGUAUGUGUAUCUUUUAUCAUCAUUUUAGUUUUCUAGUAAAUAAAUAAUCAACUAAAAUUGGUGUGGUACGAACUCAUUGGUGGGACCC
This 4323-nucleotide long non-coding RNA is filed under the name Salmo salar (Atlantic salmon). RNAcentral's name for it is "lncRNA (ENSSSAG00000083789.1)". Lineage: Eukaryota; Metazoa; Chordata; Actinopteri; Salmoniformes; Salmonidae. The record is from RNAcentral.